UGACCUCGGAUCAGGUAGGAAUACCCGCUGAACUUAAGCAUAUCAAUAAGCGGAGGAAAAGAAACCAACAGGGAUUGCCUCAGUAACGGCGAGUGAAGCGGCAACAGCUCAAAUUUGAAAUCUGGCCCUAGGCCCGAGUUGUAAUUUGCAGAGGAUGCUUUUGGCAAGGUGCCUUCCGAGUUCCCUGGAACGGGACGCCAUAGAGGGUGAGAGCCCCGUCUGGUCGGACACCGAGCCUCUGUAAAGCUCCCUUCGACGAGUCGAGUAGUUUGGGAAUGCUGCUCAAAAUGGGAGUAUAUGUCCUCCUAAAGCUAAAUACCCGGCCAGAGACCGAUAGCGCACAAGUAGAGUUGA
This 354-nucleotide ribosomal RNA is filed under the name Albifimbria terrestris. RNAcentral describes it as "eukaryotic LSU rRNA". It matches the Rfam family "Eukaryotic large subunit ribosomal RNA", at positions 1 to 360 of the family's 3401-position model. Lineage: Eukaryota; Fungi; Ascomycota; Sordariomycetes; Hypocreales; Stachybotryaceae. The record is from RNAcentral.